AUCCAGGCGGCGGAAUUCAGGAUGGCGGGCGUGUCUUGAGGGGCGCGUUCGUCGUUUGAUAUUUCCGCCGCCGAAGACGUCGCGACCUGUUCGCGGUUGGUCCCUGCUCGGAGGAGCCGCGUUCGAGUUCGUUGUGGGCGCGUUUUUACGCGUUACACGGCGAAGACGCGGAUCUCUGGCUGACCGACGGACAGUACGCUACAAACGGUGUCCGAUGUUGUCGUCUCGUACGCGCGCGCAUCGGUACCGGUCGGCGACGAAUUCUUCGGGCCUCUUUCCGACCCGUCUUGAAACACGGACCAAGGAGUCUAACAUGCGCGCGAGUCGCGGGGUGUCGAGCGUAUCACGGUACGCUCGUUACGUUACGAAACCCGUACAUGUCGAAGGCGUAAUGAAAGUAAAUGGGGAAGAUGGUGUUCCGAGUACACGUUCCGCGGUCGUCGGUACCGCGGCCGGGCACCCGCAUUCCCGGGGCGUCUCAACGGCCCGUCGCGGAUGCGGACAGUCGUCUCUCGGGGCGGCUGUCGGUCUGCGACGAACCGA
RNAcentral lists this ribosomal RNA (543 nucleotides) under Parlatoria blanchardi. Its description in RNAcentral is "eukaryotic LSU rRNA". The record is from RNAcentral. Lineage: Eukaryota; Metazoa; Arthropoda; Insecta; Hemiptera; Diaspididae.